This 465-nucleotide ribosomal RNA is filed under the name Vreelandella stevensii. RNAcentral describes it as "partial 16S ribosomal RNA". It matches the Rfam family "Bacterial small subunit ribosomal RNA", at positions 338 to 795 of the family's 1533-position model. Lineage: Bacteria; Pseudomonadati; Pseudomonadota; Gammaproteobacteria; Oceanospirillales; Halomonadaceae. The record is from RNAcentral.
CCUACGGGAGGCUGCAGUGGGGAAUAUUGGACAAUGGGGGCAACCCUGAUCCAGCCAUGCCGCGUGUGUGAGGAAGGCCCUCGGGUUGUAAAGCACUUUCAGUGAGGAAGAACGCCUGGUGGUUAAUACCCAUCAGGAAAGACAUCACUCACAGAAGAAGCACCGGCUAACUCCGUGCCAGCAGCCGCGGUAAUACGGAGGGUGCGAGCGUUAAUCGGAAUUACUGGGCGUAAAGCGCGCGUAGGUGGCUUGAUAAGCCGGUUGUGAAAGCCCCGGGCUCAACCUGGGAACGGCAUCCGGAACUGUCAAGCUAGAGUGCAGGAGAGGAAGGUAGAAUUCCCGGUGUAGCGGUGAAAUGCGUAGAGAUCAGGAGGAAUACCAGUGGCGAAGGCGGCCUUCUGGACUGACACUGACACUGAGGUGCGAAAGCGUGGGUAGCAAACAGGAUUAGAUACCCUGGUAGUC